RNAcentral lists this ribosomal RNA (519 nucleotides) under uncultured bacterium. Its description in RNAcentral is "bacterial SSU rRNA". It matches the Rfam family "Archaeal small subunit ribosomal RNA", at positions 345 to 866 of the family's 1478-position model. The record is from RNAcentral.
AACCUCCGCAAUGUGAGAAAUCGCGACGGGGGGAUCCCAAGUGCCAUUCUUAACGGGAUGGCUUUUCAUUAGUGUAAAGAGCUUUUGGAAUAAGAGCUGGGCAAGACCGGUGCCAGCCGCCGCGGUAACACCGGCAGCUCUAGUGGUAACAAUUUUUAUUGGGCCUAAAGCGUCCGUAGCCGGUUUAAUAAGUCUCUGGUGAAAUCCUGUAGCUUAACUGUGGGAAUUGCUGGAGAUACUAUUAGACUUGAGACCGGGAGAGGUUAGAGGUACUCCCAGGGUAGAGGUGAAAUUCUGUAAUCCUGGGAGGACCGCCUGUUGCGAAGGCGUCUAACUGGAACGGUUCUGACGGUGAGGGACGAAAGUUAGGGGCGCGAACCGGAUUAGAUACCCGGGUAGUCCUAACUGUAAACGAUGCGGACUUGGUGUUGGGGUGGCUUUGAGCUGCUCCAGUGCCGAAGGGAGCUGUUAAGUCCGCCGCCUGGGAAGUACGGUCGCAAGACUGAAACUUAAGGAAUU